This 248-nucleotide unclassified non-coding RNA is filed under the name rhizosphere metagenome. RNAcentral describes it as "partial ribosomal RNA internal transcribed spacer region". The record is from RNAcentral.
GUAGGUGAACCUGCGGAAGGAUCAUUAACGAGUUAGGGUCUUCCAGGCCCGACCUCCCAACCCUAUGUUUAUUGAACCACUGUUGCUUCGGUGGGCCCGUCUCGCGGCCGCCGGAGGACCGCUGAAAGGCGUCCUCUGGCCCGCGUCCGCCGAUGGCCAACCACUUAAACUCUGAAUGAAUCGUGUCAUAUGUCUAAGUCCAUGAUUAAAUUAAAGCAAAACUUUCAACAACGGAUCUCUUGGUUCUG